AGUGAGCUUAGUGAGGUUCCAAGGAAGCUCGGAGUGCUUCGUUGGAAGUUUUUGGACGUAAGAACACGGAGAUCGAUAAGUUCAAAGUUUGGCCGGAGCUUUCGAGGCAUUUUCCGGCGAAUCCCCGGCGAGUUAGGCGUCGAGGUAGGUAUAAAUCUCUUCGUCUCGUCAAGUACUACAACUUUCCUUUUUGUUUCACUCAAUUUCGUUGAGUAUUGAAGAAGUUAUACUCAUUUGAAAAAUACCCAGUUUCCGGCGACCUCCGAGGCUUUCGAGGCAGUUUCCGGCCAAACUACGGCGAACUAGGUGUUGGGAAAGGUACCAUUCUCUUUUGUCUCUUCAAGGGCUACAACUUUCGUUUUUGAAUCACUUGAUUUCGUUGAGAAAUGACAAAGUUAUGGCAAUUUGAAAAACUGCCCAAAAAACGGCCGCCGGAAAAACCAGUCCGGCGACCCAAGGAAGAAGGUGCUACAGUAAAAAUAAAAAAUAAAAAUAAAAUUAUUUUAAAAAUAUGUCGACGUCCGUGACGUCGAGUAGAUCACUGUGGUAUAUUCAUAUACCUAAAUUGAACACCGUAUGAGAAAGUUAUUGAAGAUUGUUGGUUAGGUGUUCGAAUAACGUUUUAUAGUUUUCACAUUUAGGUAAAAAUGUGAAUUGACGAUCCGACCGUUGGAUGGUGAUGAAAUUUUAGGAUGUUGUCCUAGAGGUAUAAUGUGGACCUCUGGAAGUUAUGGAUUUAAAAUCUGAGGGGUGGAUCUUCCGGAUCGAACUACGUAGUGACGUAUUUAUAUAAGUUAUAUAUUCUAUCGAUAUGAAUUCUGAGGUUGGAUUUGAUUACUAUUCUAGGCGGCGAUCGUCGUGACGCCUUGAUGUGUGGUGCUAGGGAGUUGUUGGACGAACUCCAGGUGAGUGGGCAGUUUUGUUUUCCGUAUAUAUAUAUAUACUUGACGUUUCCCAGAAAUUGAAUUGAAAUGAAAAUAUGUUUAAAAUGAAAUGCAUAUGAGUUAUGUGGAAAAACGGGAAGUGAAAUACCAUGCAUAGAAUUGAUAUGAAAAGUAUAUAGAAAUGUGAGUUGAAAUGCCAUGCAUGAAUUAAUAUAUGAUGCAUAUGUAUGAAUUGGUGCGGUGGACGCACAGGUAAGAAUUGAUUUAUGAUGCAUAUGUAUGAAUUGGUGCGGUGGACGCACAGGUAAGAAUUGAUUUAUGAUGCAUAUGUAUGAAAUGGUGCGGUGGACGCACAGGUGAGUAUUUAAUUACUGUUAUGAUGAUGAUGAUAUAUAUUGAGCUCAAAUCCUGCACCAUGGUUUAGUGCUUAUAGUAUUCACCGCAUCGCACGCUCGCCUUGGAUCCAAGUAGAUGCUAGUCGUACAGUCCACGCGGAGUGGGUACGACAGACCAGUCGCGAGAGUGUUAGUGAGAUUCCGACUGGUGGGUGACCUUAGAUUAUGUGCACAGAUGAUUUAUGAGAAGCACUAGAGCGUAACUUGUGUGCAGAAGGCCGGACGGGUCACAGAGGUGACUCCGGUAGAGUGAUAAUGAUAGAUUUUGAGCUCUAGGUUCAACCGUACAGGGCUAUUAGAGGGCCUCCGGUUGAUUACUUUCUUGCACCUGAUAUGAUUAUUGUUGAUGCAUCCAUACUUAACUGUUGAAUUAGACAUGGCAUGGCAUGAUUGAUAAAGAAAAAAAUGUUGAGUUAAUGAAUUAAAGUAUUGAGAAUAUAUAUGUAUAAUUAUAUUUUACAUUUCUGGGAAAAUAUACAGGUUUUACGGAGAGGGGUUACAACGUUUUGAAAAAUGUUUGGAUUUGGAAAAGAAUGGUUUUACUGACCCACUCAAUUUUGGUUUUGCGCCCCUCCAGGUUCAGGAAUCACAAAGGUGUGGUGACUACGAGGAAUUCCGCGGGGUUCUGACAGAAUGGACCAAAUUAGGACUCACCUUCGGGUGUAUCAACGUAUAAAUUGUAUAAUUAAAGCUUCCGUACUGUGCAAAUGGUUACGUCACUCUCACGUGACGGCCAGCAUGCCCUCCUUCGGGACGGGGUGUGUCAAUAUAGACGCCACGCUAUCAUUUAACGAGAGAACUAACAGUUUGACUAACAGAUGUAUGAGACUGUCCUAAAAUUAACAUUUUAGGUAUGAUUCUGGAAUGAAAAAAACUUGAUGUACUAAAUAUUGAAAAUCACGAAAUAUGAGGAUAGUAAAUAAAGUUUAACCCAUAUAUAUAUAUGAUGAUGAUGAUGAACUAGUAAUUAGUGUGAUUAAAAUUGAUCUGGCUUUCUACAGUUUACCCACACCACAUAGAAAUGGAGUCCUCCACGGAAUUCCAUGAGCUUUGUGACUAAAGAAAAGGUCAAGAGUCUCCCACACACCACACUCAUCUAGGUCUCACAAAAACUUGUUUCCCCCUCCACGUGUUCCCAUGCAUGUCCCCAUACUCAAAUCAUCCCC
Molecule: long non-coding RNA, 2445 nt
Filed under: Malus domestica (apple)
Lineage: Eukaryota; Viridiplantae; Streptophyta; Magnoliopsida; Rosales; Rosaceae
Description: long non-coding RNA (MDOM_LNC014364)
Source: RNAcentral